CCUACGGGGGACUGCAGUCGAGAAUCAUUCACAAUGGGGGAAACCCUGAUGGUGCGACGCCGCGUGGGGGAAUGAAGGUCUUCGGAUUGUAAACCCCUGUCAUGUGGGAGCAAAUUAAAAAGAUAGUACCACGAGAGGAAGAGACGGCUAACUCUGUGCCAGCAGCCGCGGUAAUACAGAGGUCUCAAGCGUUGUUCAGAAUCACUGGGCGUAAAGCGUGCGUAGGCUGUUUCGUAAGUCGUGUGUGAAAGGCGCGGGCUCAACCCGCGGACGGCACAUGAUACUGCGAGACUAGAGUAAUGGAGGGGGAACCGGAAUUCUCGGUGUAGCAGUGAAAUGCGUAGAUAUCGAGAGGAACACUCGUGGCGAAGGCGAGUUCCUGGACCUUAACUGACGCUGAGGCACGAAGGCCAGGGGAGCGAAAGGGAUUAGAUACCCUAGUAGUC
This 446-nucleotide ribosomal RNA is filed under the name uncultured bacterium. RNAcentral describes it as "partial 16S ribosomal RNA". It matches the Rfam family "Bacterial small subunit ribosomal RNA", at positions 338 to 795 of the family's 1533-position model. The record is from RNAcentral.